AGAUGGACAAAGUCUUUCCACCAGUAAUCAGCACUUGCACUCUGAGGACUGACUCUUACCAGCUGGGGAGCAAACAGGCCAGCUGGAGACCGAGAUGACAGAAGGCAGGCACUGCCAGGUGCACCUCCUGGAUGAUAGGAGACUGGAGCUGCUGGUUCAGCCCAAACUUCUAGCAAGAGAGUUGCUGGACCUAGUGGCUUCACAUUUCAACCUGAAAGAAAAGGAGUAUUUUGGAAUAACAUUCAUAGAUGACACGCCAAGAGGAGAAACGGAAAAAUAGAUGGCAAUUACGCAAUAAAAGCAGUGAUGAUGACCAACAACCACAGAUUCAAGGUCACGUUACUGGGAGAGGGAUAGCAUUUCUGAGAUUACGCUUGUUAGGGCCUUGCGCAGCUCUGUGUGCAAAGUUAGUCUUUCACCCCUAGAGGGCAGUCACGGCCCUCCUGAGGCACCAGUCCUUCAGGUCACCGUAGUGGUUCCAUCUCUUCACCCAUUUCACUUUUUGUUUUGCCUUCUCAUGUUUUGAAAGGCUUUGCUAAAUAAGCUUUGUUUACCAAGAAAUAACAGAUAG
Molecule: long non-coding RNA, 571 nt
Filed under: Homo sapiens (human)
Lineage: Eukaryota; Metazoa; Chordata; Mammalia; Primates; Hominidae
Description: non-protein coding lnc-LMOD3-2:1
Source: RNAcentral